ACUGACCAUCUAACUGACCAUCUAACUGACCAUCUAACUGACCAUCUAACUGACCAACUAACUGACCAUCUAACUGGCCAUCUAACUGACCAUCUAACUGACCAUCUAACUGACCAUCUAACUGACCAGCUGCUUUGCUCUAGACAAGUUGCAGAGGUUGAUCUUAUUGUCACCUAAACAUCAGAGGUUGAUCUUAUUGUCACCUAAACAUCAGAGGUUGAUCUUAUUGUCACCUAAACAUCAGAGGUAAUAUAGUCAUCUUGGUGUCUGUUGUCUUGUUUUCAGAAGGAGGUGAGGAAGGUGAAGAAGACCCACACCAGCCUUUCUCCUCAGGAGAUCAGGACCAUCCAUGUGAAGAGACAUCUGGACCCUCUGCCUCCAGGCUUCUUCUACAACGGACAACAGUACGUCAGCUUCUUUGGAGAGAAGAAGAUCUUCCAUCCACAAAUGGACCAGUUCAUAACGGAGUAUGUUGAGGAGGCCAACCGAGAGAUCGACCUCUUCAACAAUCAACUGGAGCAGCAGCAGCACCAGGACCUGUUUGACCCUUAGUGACACCUAAUGACCCCCAAGGUUCGGGUUAGAGGUCGUCUGUCUCGUCCUUUUACUGUUUGUCCUCCUUCUCAGCACAUCUCAAAGGGAAACAAGGGGGGGAAACUAUACCAUACAUACUGUCACCUCCACUAUACCAUACAUACUGUCACCUCCACUAUACCAUACAUACUGUCACCUCCAC
Molecule: long non-coding RNA, 736 nt
Organism: Salvelinus sp. IW2-2015
Lineage: Eukaryota; Metazoa; Chordata; Actinopteri; Salmoniformes; Salmonidae
Source: RefSeq, a predicted model, not a curated record